GUCCACGCCGUAAACGAUGGGCACUAGGUGUGGGAGGUGUCGACUCCUCCCGUGCCGACGCUAACGCAUUAAGUGCCCCGCCUGGGGAGUACGGCCGCAAGGCUAAAACUCAAAGGAAUUGACGGGGGCCCGCACAAGCAGCGGAGCAUGUGGUUUAAUUCGACGCAACGCGAAGAACCUUACCUGGGUUUGACAUGUUGGUGACCGGUGUGGAAACACACCUUUCCUUCGGGACACCAUCACAGGUGGUGCAUGGCUGUCGU
RNAcentral lists this ribosomal RNA (263 nucleotides) under uncultured bacterium. RNAcentral's name for it is "partial 16S ribosomal RNA". It matches the Rfam family "Bacterial small subunit ribosomal RNA", at positions 793 to 1055 of the family's 1533-position model. The record is from RNAcentral.